UGAACAUUUCCUUUUCUUUGA
RNAcentral lists this non-coding RNA (21 nucleotides) under Caenorhabditis elegans. The record is from RNAcentral. Lineage: Eukaryota; Metazoa; Nematoda; Chromadorea; Rhabditida; Rhabditidae.